This 432-nucleotide ribosomal RNA is filed under the name uncultured bacterium. RNAcentral's name for it is "partial 16S ribosomal RNA". It matches the Rfam family "Bacterial small subunit ribosomal RNA", at positions 29 to 507 of the family's 1533-position model. The record is from RNAcentral.
AACGAACGCUGGCGGCAUGCCUAACACAUGCAAGUCGAACGAGACCUUCGGGUCUAGUGGCGCACGGGUGCGUAACGCGUGGGAACCUGCCUUUAGGUUCGGAAUAACUCAGAGAAAUUUGAGCUAAUACCGGAUGAUGUCUUCGGCCAAAGAUUUAUCGCCUUUAGAUGGGCCCGCGUUGGAUUAGCUAGUUGGUGGGGUAAGGGCCUACCAAGGCGACGAUCCAUAGCUGGUCUGAGAGGAUGAUCAGCCACACUGGGACUGAGACACGGCCCAGACUCCUACGGGAGGCAGCAGUGGGGAAUAUUGGACAAUGGGCGAAAGCCUGAUCCAGCAAUGCCGCGUGAGUGAUGAAGGCCUUAGGGUUGUAAAGCUCUUUUACCCGAGAUGAUAAUGACAGUAUCGGGAGAAUAAGCUCCGGCUAACUCCGUG